GGCGCGAAGCUACCGUGCGC
This 20-nucleotide small nuclear RNA is filed under the name Arabidopsis thaliana (thale cress). RNAcentral describes it as "snRNA_10031". The record is from RNAcentral. Lineage: Eukaryota; Viridiplantae; Streptophyta; Magnoliopsida; Brassicales; Brassicaceae.